This 484-nucleotide ribosomal RNA is filed under the name uncultured bacterium. Its description in RNAcentral is "partial 16S ribosomal RNA". It matches the Rfam family "Bacterial small subunit ribosomal RNA", at positions 28 to 523 of the family's 1533-position model. The record is from RNAcentral.
GACGAACGCUGGCGGCGUGCUUAACACAUGCAAGUCGAACGGAAAGGCCCUGCUUUUGUGGGGUGCUCGAGUGGCGAACGGGUGAGUAACACGUGAGUAACCUGCCCUUGACUUUGGGAUAACUUCAGGAAACUGGGGCUAAUACCGGAUAGGAGCUCCUGCUGCAUGGUGGGGGUUGGAAAGUUUCGGCGGUUGGGGAUGGACUCGCGGCUUAUCAGCUUGUUGGUGGGGUAGGGGCUUACCAAGGCUCUGACGGGUAGCCGGCCUGAGAGGGUGACCGGCAACAUUGGGACUGAGUUACGGCCCAGACUCCUACGGGAGGCAGCAGUGGGGAAUAUUGCACAAUGGGCGGAAGCCUGAUGCAGCAACGCCGCGUGCGGGAUGACGGCCUUCGGGUUGUAAACCGCUUUCGCCUGUGACGAAGCGUGAGUGACGGUAAUGGGUAAAGAAGCACCGGCUAACUACGUGCCAGCCGCCGCCGUAA